RNAcentral lists this ribosomal RNA (565 nucleotides) under uncultured bacterium. RNAcentral describes it as "bacterial SSU rRNA". It matches the Rfam family "Bacterial small subunit ribosomal RNA", at positions 833 to 1397 of the family's 1533-position model. The record is from RNAcentral.
AGCGCACUUUGUGUCGAAGUUAACGCGAUAAGUCGACCGCCUGGGGAGUACGGCCGCAAGGUUAAAACUCAAAUGAAUUGACGGGGGCCCGCACAAGCGGUGGAGCAUGUGGUUUAAUUCGAUGCAACGCGAAGAACCUUACCUACUCUUGACAUCCUGCGAACUUGUGAGAGAUCACUUGGUGCCUUCGGGAGCGCAGAGACAGGUGCUGCAUGGCUGUCGUCAGCUCGUGUUGUGAAAUGUUGGGUUAAGUCCCGUAACGAGCGCAACCCUUGUCCUUAUUUGCCAGCGGGUAAUGCCGGGAACUCUAAGGAGACUGCCGGUGACAAACCGGAGGAAGGUGGGGACGACGUCAAGUCAUCAUGGCCCUUACGAGUAGGGCUACACACGUGCUACAAUGGCCGGUACAAAGGGUUGCGAGCUCGCGAGAGUCAGCUAAUCCCGAAAAGCCGGUCUCAGUCCGGAUCGGAGUCUGCAACUCGACUCCGUGAAGUCGGAAUCGCUAGUAAUCGUGAAUCAGAAUGUCACGGUGAAUACGUUCCCGGGCCUUGUACACACCGCCCGU